AUACGUAGGGGACGAGCGUUGUCCGGAAUUACUGGGCGUAAAGGGCGCGCAGGCGGAUAUUUAAGUCAGCUGUAAAAGGCAUGAGCUCAACUCAUGUAUGCGGUUGAAACUUGGUAUCUAGAGUGCUGGAGAGGUAGGCGGGAUUCCCGGUGUAGCAGUGAAAUGCGUAGAUAUCGGGAAGAACACCAGUGGCGAAGGCGGCUUACUGGCCAGCAACUGACGCUGAGGCGCGAAAGCCAGGGGAGCGAACGGGAUUAGAUACCCCGGUAGUCCUGGCCGUAAACGAUGAAUGCUAGGUGUGGGUGUCGAGAGGCAUCCGUGCCGGAGUUAACGCGAUAAGCAUUCCGCCUGGGGAGUACGAUCGCAAGAUUGAAACUCAAAUGAAUUGGCGGGG
Molecule: ribosomal RNA, 394 nt
Filed under: uncultured bacterium
Lineage: Bacteria
Description: partial 16S ribosomal RNA
Rfam family: Bacterial small subunit ribosomal RNA
Source: RNAcentral